RNAcentral lists this ribosomal RNA (440 nucleotides) under uncultured bacterium. RNAcentral describes it as "partial 16S ribosomal RNA". It matches the Rfam family "Bacterial small subunit ribosomal RNA", at positions 338 to 795 of the family's 1533-position model. The record is from RNAcentral.
CCUACGGGUGGCAGCAGUGGGGAAUAUUGCACAAUGGGGGGAACCCUGAUGCAGCGACGUCGCGUGAGUGAAGAAGUAUUUCUGUAUGUAAAGCUCUAUCAGCAGGGAAGAAAAUGACGGUACCUGACUAAGAAGCCCCGGAUAACUACGUGCCAGCAGUCGCGGUAAUUCGUAGGGGGCAAGCGUUAACCGGAUUUACGGGGUGUAAAGGGGGCGUAGGCGGUUAUGCAAGUCUGAAGUGAAAGCUCAGGGGUCAAACAUGGGACGGCUUUGGAAACUGUAUAACUGGAGGGCCGGAGAGGUAAGCGGAAGUCGUAGUGGAGCGGUGAAAGGCAUAGAUAUUAGGAGGAACACCGGUUGCGAAGGCGGCUUACUGGACUGUAACUGACGUUGAUGCUCGAAGGCGGGGGGAGCAAACAGGAUUAGAUACCCGAGUAGUC